CGGGCAGUAGCUCAGUGGUAGAGCUCCUGCUUCUUAUACGGGAAAACCUGGGUUCGAUUCCCGGCUGCCUAC
RNAcentral lists this transfer RNA (72 nucleotides) under Toxocara canis (dog roundworm). It matches the Rfam family "tRNA". From Rfam's summary of the family: Transfer RNA (tRNA) molecules are approximately 80 nucleotides in length. Their secondary structure includes four short double-helical elements and three loops (D, anti-codon, and T loops). Further hydrogen bonds mediate the characteristic L-shaped molecular structure. tRNAs have two regions of fundamental functional importance: the anti-codon, which is responsible for specific mRNA codon recognition, and the 3' end, to which the tRNAs corresponding amino acid is attached (by aminoacyl-tRNA synthetases). tRNAs cope with the degeneracy of the genetic code in two manners: having more than one tRNA (with a specific anti-codon) for a particular amino acid; and 'wobble' base-pairing, i.e. permitting non-standard base-pairing at the 3rd anti-codon position. The record is from Rfam by way of RNAcentral. Lineage: Eukaryota; Metazoa; Nematoda; Chromadorea; Rhabditida; Toxocaridae.